GACGAACGCUGGCGGCGUGCUUAACACAUGCAAGUCGAACGGAAAGGCCCUGCUUUUGUGGGGUGCUCGAGUGGCGAACGGGUGAGUAACACGUGAGUAACCUGCCCUUGACUUUGGGAUAACUUCAGGAAACUGGGGCUAAUACCGGAUAGGAGCUCCUGCUGCAUGGUGGGGGUUGGAAAGUUUCGGCGGUUGUGGAUGGACUCGCGGCUUAUCAGCUUGUUGGUGGGGUAGUGGCUUACCAAGGCUUUGACGGGUAGCCGGCCUGGGAGGGUGACCGGCCACAUUGGGACUGAGGUACGGCCCAGACUCCUACGGGAGGCAGCAGUGGGGAAUAUUGCACAAUGGGCGGAAGCCUGAUGCAGCAACGCCGCGUGCGGGAUGACGGCCUUCGGGUUGUAAACCGCUUUCGCCUGUGACGAAGCGUGAGUGACGGUAAUGGGUAAAGAAGCACCGGCUAACUACGUG
This 468-nucleotide ribosomal RNA is filed under the name uncultured bacterium. RNAcentral describes it as "partial 16S ribosomal RNA". It matches the Rfam family "Bacterial small subunit ribosomal RNA", at positions 28 to 507 of the family's 1533-position model. The record is from RNAcentral.